CUAUACAUGCAGUCGAACGAACCAUCCUGAAGAUUGAAGCUUGCUUCAUGAUUCAGACCUUGGUGAGUGGCGGACGGGUGAGUAACACGUGGGUAACCUGCCCAAAAGUGGGGGAUAACAUUUGGAAACAAGUGCUAAUACCGCAUAACAACUACUUUCACAUGAUCGUAGCUUGAAAGAUGGCUCUGCUAUCGCUUUUGGAUGGACCCGCGGCGUAUUAGCUAGUUGGUGAGGUAAUAGCUCACCAAGGCAAUGAUACGUAGCCGACCUGAGAGGGUAAUCGGCCACAUUGGGACUGAGACACGGCCCAAACUCCUACGGGAGGCAGCAGUAGGGAAUCUUCCACAAUGGGCGAAAGCCUGAUGGAGCAAUGCCGCGUGAGUGAAGAAGGUUUUCGGAUCGUAAAACUCUGUUGUUGAAGAAGAACAUGCGUGAGAGUAACUGUUCACGUACUGACGGUAUUCAACCAGAAAGCCACGGCUAACUACGUGCCAGCAGCCGCGGUAAUACGUAGGUGGCAAGCGUUGUCCGGAUUUAUUGGGCGUAAAGAGAAUGUAGGCGGUUUAUUAAGUUUGAAGUGAAAGCCCUCGGCUCAACCGAGGAAGUGCUUCGAAAACUGGUAAACUUGAGUGCAGAAGAGGAAAGUGGAACUCCAUGUGUAGCGGUGGAAUGCGUAGAUAUAUGGAAGAACACCAGUGGCGAAGGCGGCUUUCUGGUCUGUAACUGACGCUGAGAUUCGAAAGCAUGGGUAGCAAACAGGAUUAGAUACCCUGGUAGUCCAUGCCGUAAACGAUGAGUGCUAAGUGUUGGAGGGUUUCCGCCCUUCAGUGCUGCAGCUAACGCAUUAAGCACUCCGCCUGGGGAGUACGAUCGCAAGAUUGAAACUCAAAGGAAUUGACGGGGGCCCGCACAAGCGGUGGAGCAUGUGGUUUAAUUCGAAGCAACGCGAAGAACCUUACCAGGUCUUGACAUACCAUGACAAACUAAGAGAUUAGUCUUUCCCUUCGGGGACAUGGAUACAGGUGGUGCAUGGUUGUCGUCAGCUCGUGUCGUGAGAUGUUGGGUUAAGUCCCGCAACGAGCGCAA
RNAcentral lists this ribosomal RNA (1086 nucleotides) under Companilactobacillus farciminis. Its description in RNAcentral is "bacterial SSU rRNA". It matches the Rfam family "Bacterial small subunit ribosomal RNA", at positions 49 to 1101 of the family's 1533-position model. The record is from RNAcentral. Lineage: Bacteria; Bacillati; Bacillota; Bacilli; Lactobacillales; Lactobacillaceae.